This 34-nucleotide ribosomal RNA is filed under the name Calceolaria cavanillesii. Its description in RNAcentral is "partial 28S ribosomal RNA". RNAcentral also lists the same sequence under 1 other name. Lineage: Eukaryota; Viridiplantae; Streptophyta; Magnoliopsida; Lamiales; Calceolariaceae. The record is from RNAcentral.
GGCGACCCCUGGUCAGGCGGGAUAACCCGCUGAG